UACGGGGGGGGCAAGCGUUGUUCGGAAUUACUGGGCGUAAAGGGCUCGUAGGCGGCCAACUAAGUCGGACGUGAAAUCCCUCGGCUUAACCGGGGAACUGCGUCCGAUACUGGAUGGCUUGAGAUUGGGAGAGGGAUGCGGAAUUCCAGGUGUAGCGGUGAAAUGCGUAGAUAUCUGGAGGAACACCGGUGGCGAAGGCGGCAUCCUGGACCGGCAUUGACGCUGAGGCGCGAAAGCUAGGGGAGCAAACGGG
Molecule: ribosomal RNA, 253 nt
Filed under: uncultured bacterium
Lineage: Bacteria
Description: partial 16S ribosomal RNA
Rfam family: Bacterial small subunit ribosomal RNA
Source: RNAcentral